RNAcentral lists this small RNA (27 nucleotides) under Bombyx mori (domestic silkworm). Its description in RNAcentral is "ovarian small RNA-4136". Lineage: Eukaryota; Metazoa; Arthropoda; Insecta; Lepidoptera; Bombycidae. The record is from RNAcentral.
UUGCAAUAACUUGAAUGUUGCGUUUGC